AACAGUACAAGCCGGUCAUUAUCUAUCUUAUGGAAACUAAAGCCAAAGAAGAAAAGACUAGGAAGUUAGCUAGGAGUUUACAUUUCAAGAAUGCAUUUUGUGUAGAGCCCAGGGCUUAUCCGAAGGGCUAUGUGACUUGAGGAAUGAAAAAGUGGAUGUUUCAGUUUAUUCUUGGUGCCAUAAUUUUAAUGCUAACCAACCAUGAAAGUGUUGUUUUACUUAUGGCAAUCCCAUUUUUCAGCAACGGAGGAAAACUUGGAAGCUGCUGGCCAAAGCCAGUGACUUGGCAGAUGACCCAUGUUGCUUUAUUGGUGAUUUCAAUGAUAUCUUAAAUCAGGAGGAGAAAACCGGCAACCACCCCAAGACCAAAAACCAAAUUGAAAAGUUCAGAGAGCUAGUUAAUAAGAGGGAGCUCAUGGAUAUUGACCUUAAGGGGAGUAAAUUCACAUGGUUUAGCAAUCCAAGAGACAAUAUUGUCACCCGAGAAAGAAUCAACAGAGCAUUAGUGAAUUGGGGUUGGAGAAAAAUGUUUGAACAUGUCACACUCAUAGCUACACCAGCUAUUUCAUCUGACCACUAGCCCCUCCUUCUCAACACUAAACCAGAGCAGAGAAGACCUAGAAUGUUCAGAUAUGAAUCAUAUUGGGAUGACAGGAAAGACUGUUGGUGGCAUUUGGGCGAGUUUGGCAAAGUGCAAAGAGAAUUCGUGGAUGCUGUCAACCUUGACCUCUUCACACUCCAACGAGUAUAACUUGAGCUAUAAAGGUCCAAAUGACGCGGUUCCAGCGGCACUAGAAAGCUGAGCUUUCCAACGAUAUAUAAUAGUUUAUACUUACUCGCUGGAUUUGGAGCAGAAGGUGGCGCCAAACGCCACGUCACGGCGUUUGGCGCCAUGUCGAACGCCAUACAUCACAAGUCCUCAAGCCAAACGCCUAGAUUACCAAGUAUGGCGCCACACCUACUCCUCAAGUUGGACGUCACUCUCUCUAAGCCAAACGCCAUGCACUC
This is a non-coding RNA of Arachis ipaensis, 1008 nucleotides long. NCBI's taxonomy places the organism in Eukaryota, Viridiplantae, Streptophyta, Magnoliopsida, Fabales, Fabaceae. The record is from RefSeq and is a predicted model, not a curated record.